CAAAUUAGAGCUUGAAUUUAAGUAUUUCAUUUACAUUGAAAAGAUAUUAAUAAUAAAUAAUUAAUUUGA
RNAcentral lists this transfer RNA (69 nucleotides) under Paectes cristatrix. RNAcentral's name for it is "tRNA-Val". The record is from RNAcentral. Lineage: Eukaryota; Metazoa; Arthropoda; Insecta; Lepidoptera; Euteliidae.